AAUGAAUGAUUGAUAAAUCCUCACUUAAUUCUCAUUCCUUUAUAGGAGACCUACUGCAGAAGAGACACUGGAGCAUCCUUGGUUCAAAACACAAGCAAAGGGAGCAGAGGUGAGCACAGAUCACCUGAAGCUUUUCCUGUCCAGGAGGAGGUGGCAGGUAAGUUUUUCUGGGCCCUACCUCUGUCCUUUCCACAUUCAUUUUCUCUCACACA
This 212-nucleotide long non-coding RNA is filed under the name Nannospalax galili (Upper Galilee mountains blind mole rat). RNAcentral's name for it is "lncRNA (ENSNGAG00000024610.1)". The record is from RNAcentral. Lineage: Eukaryota; Metazoa; Chordata; Mammalia; Rodentia; Spalacidae.